UACGUAGGGCGCAAGCGUUAUCCGGAAUUAUUGGGCGUAAAGAGCUCGUAGGCGGUUUGUCGCGUCUGCCGUGAAAGUCCGGGGCUCAACUCCGGAUCUGCGGUGGGUACGGGCAGACUAGAGUGAUGUAGGGGAGACUGGAAUUCCUGGUGUAGCGGUGAAACGCGCAGAUAUCAGGAGGAACACCUGAGGUGAAGACGGGUUGCUGGGCCAACACUGACGCUGAGGCGCGAAAGCCAGGGGAGCAAACGGG
RNAcentral lists this ribosomal RNA (253 nucleotides) under uncultured bacterium. Its description in RNAcentral is "partial 16S ribosomal RNA". It matches the Rfam family "Bacterial small subunit ribosomal RNA", at positions 524 to 776 of the family's 1533-position model. The record is from RNAcentral.